Molecule: long non-coding RNA, 1620 nt
Organism: Pimephales promelas (fathead minnow)
Lineage: Eukaryota; Metazoa; Chordata; Actinopteri; Cypriniformes; Leuciscidae
Source: RefSeq, a predicted model, not a curated record
UGCCUCCUCUGAGCACAGACCCUUGGUCCAGCAGUAAACUUCUCUGGAAGAAGACAACACAGGCACAAAAAUGAAUACAAUUUGGAUAUUGUGCUUUGCGGUGCUGAUCAUAACCAUACCAUUUACAACACAGGUGAGCUCUGAUCAGAAGUCCGAAAGUGGCUCAGGCCAAACGGCCUCUAAUCCUUCCACAAAUUCCAGUGCUGUAGGAUUGGGUCCUGUGUCCACCACACUGUACAUGCUGAUCCCAGCAGCCACCCUGGGCUUCAUCCACAGUAGAUCCUGAUGGAUGGAGAGUGUUCGCCAUAGAUGACCAAAACUGAGACAGUGGCGAAAUGGACAGAAGAGCAAAUUUUCCAAAGUUCAAAAAGAUAUGACGCACAACAGCUCAUUUUAAAGUGGAUUUUUAACUAAUGAAAAUGAAUACAUCUGCUGCCUGCAACCCCAUACAGAGGGUCCUCCAACUGAACCUCACCCUUGGGCUCUUUGUCAUGUUUUGUCUAAAAGUCACUGUUUUAGGGAGGGCUCACAUACUCAAUGGCAACUUCUCUUGGAAGAGUUUGUUUCUCCUAAACUCAAAAUAUGUGAUUUAGGUCAAGUAUGUUAAAUAACUAGGCCUACUUAAAUCAUAAAUCACUAUGCAUUUAAAAUAACAGCCUAAUUUCCAUUUCUAUAAUGACAUUGUGUACUAAAAAUUUUACUAUGAAUAUGAUCAAUGUAACCAAUUUCAGAAUGUGUCUCUACUGUAUGCACAAUUAAAGUGGAUGAUUGUAUUUCUUGUAUGUCAUCUUUUAUUCAAUUUGGUAUUAAUGUGUUUUCUCUUUACACCGAGUAUUAGUAAUGCUUUAGAUUCUAGUAUGUAGAGUAGAAAAAAGAAGUAUAGAUCGAAAUGUAUUAGAGAAUUUUUGAAAGCACAACUUUUAUUUUGAGAUCUCCUCAGACAGAGAUGAAGUCUCAGUACAGAGGAUGUGAUCCUCCUCCAAAAACUGGUGGGUAGGUGUGUAAACACGUCAAAUGUCAACCACUGUGAGAAUAAAACUCCCUUCCUGUUCGGCAUCACUAAACACAGACUCUCUUCCCCACAGAAACGUAUCUGGAAGAAGGCAGCAUAAAAAUGAAUAAAAUAUUGAUAUUGUGCCUUGGGAUACUGAUUACCUUACUUUGUUCAACUCAGCAGGUUAGCAUUGAAAAUACCACUGAAUCAGUUUCUGAUCCUUCUGUGGCCAGCGCUGCAGGAUUAGGUCCGUGGUGGCCCACCGCGCUGUGCCUGCUGAUCCCACCAAUUCUGGCCUUCAUCCAGUAGGUCCUAAACUGGUUGGAGAAUGUUGUGAUGACCGAGAUCCAGUAUCGGUCCAGUCACAUGAAGAGCCAACUUUUCCACAAUUCGUGAAUAUAGAAGACACACAGAAGAGAGAAAGAUGCCACAACAACUAAAUUUAAAGGAAAUUUACUUUCUCAGGACUGUACCGAGGGUCCUCCACACCCCAACAAAAGUCUCACUUCUCUUGUAAUCUGACCACUGUAAUGCAUUUCCUCCACAAUUUUUUGUAAUGAUUGUGAUGAACUAUUAAUUGGAAUAAUUAAGAAUGUGUCUAUGCACAAUUAAAGUGGAUAAAUGUA